GCGAACACAUGUAGUGUGCCCAAUUGAUUAAUUGAUUGAUUGGCUUAAGUUAGGCUAAUAAGUGUGUAGAUUUAGGGCCUGUUUAGUUGGGAGCUAACUUUGGCAUAGUUGUGUUUUUUCUUUCAGAAAUUGACCUACCCUUUGGCUUGGUUAAUAGAAUCCUGUCACAGCUUUUGAGUGAAAGAUGCAUGAGGCAUGGUUGUAAAAAAGGAAAUAUCUUGCCAAAUGUAUGACUAGAACUGAACAUUCACCUAAGUUGGUCAAAUUUGUUUACUUGUGUUUGCCUACUUUGGGGAAAGGGAAUGAGAGUUUACACGUGGAAUCAAACAUUCAC
This 334-nucleotide long non-coding RNA is filed under the name Triticum aestivum (bread wheat). RNAcentral describes it as "long non-coding RNA (TAES_LNC015049)". The record is from RNAcentral. Lineage: Eukaryota; Viridiplantae; Streptophyta; Magnoliopsida; Poales; Poaceae.